UACGUAGGGGGCAAGCGUUAUCCGGAUUUACUGGGUGUAAAGGGAGCGUAGACGGCAAUGCAAGUCUAGAGUGAAAGGCGGGGGCCCAACCCCCGGACUGCUCUGGAAACUGUAUAGCUGGAGUGCAGGAGAGGUAAGUGGAAUUCCUAGUGUAGCGGUGAAAUGCGUAGAUAUUAGGAGGAACACCAGUGGCGAAGGCGGCUUACUGGACUGUAACUGACGUUGAGGCUCGAAAGCGUGGGGAGCAAACAGG
This 253-nucleotide ribosomal RNA is filed under the name uncultured bacterium. RNAcentral describes it as "partial 16S ribosomal RNA". It matches the Rfam family "Bacterial small subunit ribosomal RNA", at positions 524 to 776 of the family's 1533-position model. The record is from RNAcentral.